This 85-nucleotide transfer RNA is filed under the name Azotobacter chroococcum. RNAcentral's name for it is "tRNA-Leu". It matches the Rfam family "tRNA". From Rfam's summary of the family: Transfer RNA (tRNA) molecules are approximately 80 nucleotides in length. Their secondary structure includes four short double-helical elements and three loops (D, anti-codon, and T loops). Lineage: Bacteria; Pseudomonadati; Pseudomonadota; Gammaproteobacteria; Pseudomonadales; Pseudomonadaceae. RNAcentral also lists the same sequence under 1 other name. The record is from RNAcentral.
GCGGAUGUGGUGGAAUUGGUAGACACACUGGAUUUAGGUUCCAGCGCCGCAAGGCGUGAGAGUUCGAGUCUCUCCAUCCGCACCA